CCUACGGGCGGCAGCAGUGAGGAAUAUUGGUCAAUGGACGAGAGUCUGAACCAGCCAAGUAGCGUGAAGGAUGACUGCCCUAUGGGUUGUAAACUUCUUUUAUAUGGGAAUAAAACGUUCCACGUGUGGGAUUUUGUAUGUACCAUAUGAAUAAGGAUCGGCUAACUCCGUGCCAGCAGCCGCGGUAAUACGGAGGAUCCGAGCGUUAUCCGGAUUUAUUGGGUUUAAAGGGAGCGUAGGUGGAUUGUUAAGUCAGUUGUGAAAGUUGGCGGCUCAACCGUAAAAUUGCAGGUGAAACUGGCAGUCUUGAGUACAGUAGAGGUGGGCGGAAUUCGUGGUGUAGCGGUGAAAUGCUUAGAUAUCACGAAGAACUCCGAUUGCGAAGGCAGUUCACUGGACUGCAACUGACACUGAGGCUCGAAAGUGUGGGUAUCAAACAGGAUUAGAUACCCGGGUAGUC
RNAcentral lists this ribosomal RNA (460 nucleotides) under uncultured bacterium. RNAcentral describes it as "partial 16S ribosomal RNA". It matches the Rfam family "Bacterial small subunit ribosomal RNA", at positions 338 to 795 of the family's 1533-position model. The record is from RNAcentral.